RNAcentral lists this non-coding RNA (25 nucleotides) under Rattus norvegicus (Norway rat). The record is from RNAcentral. Lineage: Eukaryota; Metazoa; Chordata; Mammalia; Rodentia; Muridae.
UGUUACCCACAGAGAGCCUUUACCC